AGAACCUGAUACGGGGCUCAAACUCACGAACCGCGAGAUCAUGACCUGAACUGAAGUCAGACGCUUAACUGACUAAGACACCCAGACGCUCCCAUAAAGACAAUAUUUUCAAAGAAGAUUUGGCAACAGAGCCUUGAUAAAAUGUCAAGUUCAAAGGUAAGAUGGGGACUCGUCCAAUCAUGAUAACUCAGAACUGCCCGGUGUUUUCUACGCAUCUGGCUGGUACGGACGUGACAUAUAUAUCACCUCACUUAAACCCCUAGCAACCCUAUGAGGCAGACUCUAUGAUUCUAAUUUUGCAGGUGAAAGAAUGUGCACAGGAAGCAAUUUGUUCAGGUUAUAGAGCCAGUGAGCGGUGGGACCAGGUUUCAGACCUGGAGUCAGGCUCCGGAGGCCACGCUUGUAACCUUGACCCACACAGCCUCUCACUGCCUGUGGGGCAGGAGCCCACAGGGCGGUGCGUGUGUGUGUGUGUGUGUGUGUGUGUGUAGUUUUGGUGAAACCUCCAAAAGAGUGUUAGUGGUUAUGCCUGGGUGGUGGUUUGUAUUUUCUUCUUUACCUCUUUUUGCUAUUUCCUCAAGCAUUUGCAGCGAGCAGUACUUUUAAGGAGCCAGUGAUGAAAGGCGACAGCAGCAGUUUCCCGAAAUUACAGGUAGAGGGUGAUCGCUUUAAUCUACUUUGGGAACCAGGAGAUAUAUAAAAACGUUUCAAGACAGCAUGUGCCAACUGCAUGGCACAGAUGGAUUUAACCCAACCAGUAACCCUGACAGGAAGGAGGACACGUUCAAUUCAAUAAACCCAUAUACAGCAUCUACUUCUUCCUCCCGGCAUUGUCUCAGGGGUGGUCUGUGUGACCAACGGAAGUGAUGGUGUGUGACUUCUAAGACUGUGCCACAGAAGAUGUUGCCACUUCCCUUGCUGUUCUGUAGACCGCCUGAUGUGGGGGAAGCUAGGUGCCUUGUGGUGACGACACCCAGCAGCCUAGGGAUAGACCCGCGUGGGAAAGACCUGAAGCCUCCCGCCACGAGCCAGCGCCAACCUACUCCUGCUGUCUGUGUGAACCAGCCUUCUUGGAAGCUGAUCCGCUAGAACUGGGUCAGAGCUCCGGGUGACCGCAGUCCCAGCUGAUAUCCUGACUGGCACUUAGGCGAGACCUUGAGCCAGAACCGCUCAGCUAAGAGGCUCCUGAUUUUCUGACCCACGGUGACUGAGAGACAGUAGGUGUUCUCUUGAUGCUUCAAGGCUUUGGUUUUGGGAGUCGUUUCAUAGACAGCAAUAGACACACGUACAGAAACGAAGGCUUGGAGAAGAGUUUGGGAAGAGCCUUCGUUUUUAAGGCGCCAUACUUGUAUGCAAUGGGGGCGAUGUUUUUUUAAAGGCGUAAAAGAUGAUGAUGACUGUGAGGAUGGGUGUAACCUAAGUUGGCCAAAGGAGUGCCGGAGCAGGAAGAAAAUUUAAGAGGCCACCGCAGUCGUCCAGACGAGAGGUAAUGAGAGAGCGGAAGCGGAGGCACCGCUGGGGGACCGGAGAAUGGCACGUCCACGCAGGGGGGCGAAGGCGAAGAAGUCACGAAGGUGACUCCUGGGUUUUGAGCGCAGGAACACGGGGGAGCCAUGAUCUCAUUUACCCAAAGAGGAAACACAGAAGGGAGCCCGCGUGGGUAGGAGUCAAGAAGUGGGGGUGUCUAUCUCCUGGCGAGGAGAGCUCUCUGCGUCCAGAGCUCCGCGGAGGGCUGGCCACCAAGGCUCCUUCACAGAUCGGGCUGGUCGAGAAGCCUCUCCCUGAAGGACGAGGCUGUUCCAUUUCACCGCACAUCUUCCCCACUGCCAAGUGUUCCCUGGUGACAGCCUCUGCCAUCGGUAUUUUUAGCAUGUGGCCUUUCUGAGCCUGAAAAACAACAUCCACUUCCUGGAACUUCUCCUCCAGCUGACAGCCAGUGACCCACGCGGGCGGGAGCUUCAGCUGGGCCUGACGGGCGACAGUCUGCCAAUCUGCUAGGGGAGAGGAAGGCAGGCCGCAAGUUGGGCACGGAGGCCUCCACCCCGCUCCCUUCUGUCCUGCUCUUGAGGCCUAACGACGUCAGUGCACGUCAGAAGCUGAAAAGUGAGGAAGCCUGUGAAUAAAGCCCAAGAGGCAGGAAGCUUCUCCUGAAAUUUCCUUCUAUGACAGCUACAUCAAGUCUGAAGGCCUCCCUGUGCCCUGAGACGCAACGAUAUUGAAAUAAGGCCAGUGAGUCACCCGACAGCGGCCUUUAAGUGCUCAAAUGGAAGGAAGAGUCGUAUGUCUCUCACCUUAAAUGAAAAGCUAGAAAUGAUGAAGCUUCGUGAGAAACGUGUGUUGAAAGCCGAGACAGGCUGAAAGCGAGGUCUCUUGGGCCCAACCGGCAGCCGAGUUGCGAAUGAAAAAAGAAAGUUAUCGAAGGCCCUUAAAAGUGCGGCUCUAGUGACCACACAAAUAAGAAAGUGAAGCAGCCUUACUGCUGGUGUGGAGGAAGUCUGAGCGGUCUGGAUAGAAGGCCAAACCACAGCAUUCCCUGAAGCCAAAGCCUGAUCCAGAGCAAGGCUUAGCUCUCUGUAACGCUAUGAAAGCAGAGAGAGGUAAGGAAGCCACUCGAGUUUAAAACCAGCAGAGGUGGGUUCCGUGAGGUUUAAGGAAAGAGGCCGUCUCCGUAACAUGAAAGUACAGGGUGAAUCUGUAAGCACUCGUGUAGAAGCUACAGCAAGUUCUCCAGAAGAUCUGCCGAAGAUAAUUCAUGAAGGUGGCUACACUCCAGAACAGACUUUCAGUGUAGGCCAAAGUGCCUUCUGUUGGAAGAAGAUGCCACCGAGGACUUUCAGAGCUGGAGAGGAGAAGUCAAUGGCUGCCUUCAAAGCUUCAAAGGACAGGCUGACUCUCUCGUUAGGGGCCAGUGCAGCUGAUCACUUGAAGCUGAAGUCAAUGCACAUUGUCCAUUCCAAAAAUCCUGGGGCCCUUAAGAACUAUGCUAAAUCUGCUCUGUCUGUGCUCUAUAAGUGGAUCAGCAAAGCCUGGAGGACAGCACAUCUGUUUACAACAUGGCUUACUGAAUAUUUGAAGCUACUGUUGAGAUCUUCUGGUCAGAAAAAAAGAUACCUUCCAACAAUUCUGCUCACUGACAAUUCACCUGUCACUCAAGAGCUCUGAAGGAGUUGUACAAGGAGAUUAAUAUUUUUUUUGGAUUAAUGCUGUUUUCAGGCAUGCUAAUGCAACAUCCAUUCUAUAGCUCAUGAAUCGAGAAGUAACUUUGACUUAGGAGUCUUAAGAAAUACAUCUUGUAAGGCUAGAGCUGCCAUAAAUAGUGAUUUCUCUGAUGGAUCUGAGCAAAGUCCAUUGAAAAUCUUCUGGAAAGGAUUCACUAUUCUAGAUGCCAUUAAGAACAUUCAUGAUUCAUGGGAGGAGGUCAAAAUAUCAACACGCACAGGCGGUUGGCAGAAGUUGACUCCCACCCUCCUCUCAUCUCCCUGCCUAGUUCUGGGUUAGUGUGGACUACAGGAGGCAUUUGACAUGAAUUUGGAAGGUAGACGCGAACCAGCAGCCAUCUUUUUAUGCUUAGCAGUUAGGCAGGGCACAUGGCUCUCUGGCACACACAUUCUUGCCUAUCUGCUGGCUCAACCAGUUGACUUAGGGCAGUUGGCUGGGCCCUCAGUUCUUGCAGCUUGUUCUAGGAACUCCUUCAGCUUCUCUGACUGGACUGUGACGAGGCUACCAGAUUCUCUGGCAGAAAGCCGCAGUCAUUGAGGUUUGGGCUUAAAGUCGGUGUGUGAAAGAUAUGGGUUCCAGCCUGUCCUCGUGGUUUCCUCACAGAUUUUAGCGUCUGUCCAGUUCUUGCUUCCCCCGCUUCAUGUACCUCUCUACCUGCCCCUGUUUGCCUGUCGGCUUGCCCUUUUAGAUUUGAGGCUUCAGCACCAAAUGGAGAACCACUUGUUCUCCACCAAGUGGAGAACGGAAGCUGUGCAGUUAAGGGUUGAACUGUGUCCUCCAAAAGACCUGUUGAAGUCCUAACCUCCCGUACCUCAGAAUGUGACCUUGCUUGGUAAUGGGGUCGUUGCAAAUAUAAUGAAUUAAGAAAGGUCACACUGGGGUAGGUUUUUUUUUUAAUUUUUUUUUCAACGUUUUUUAUUUAUUUUUGGGACAGAGAG
Felis catus (domestic cat) is the source of this 4157-nucleotide long non-coding RNA. RefSeq lists it as uncharacterized. The record is from RefSeq and is a predicted model, not a curated record. The transcript has 5 exons. Lineage: Eukaryota; Metazoa; Chordata; Mammalia; Carnivora; Felidae.